Molecule: long non-coding RNA, 178 nt
Filed under: Suricata suricatta (meerkat)
Lineage: Eukaryota; Metazoa; Chordata; Mammalia; Carnivora; Herpestidae
Description: lncRNA (ENSSSUG00005022885.1)
Source: RNAcentral
ACUUGCUUGCUUUUCUUUCAAACCUCUUUCAUUCUCAGUCACCUCAGCCAGAAAUUUCCUGCUUCAGAACUGAAGGUGACCAGGUGGUUUUACCUUGGACCUCCAGCAAGAACUACAAAGAAGAAAGGAGUCUGAAGAGUCAGUCAAGUUUUCUGUCUAGUCCAAGUAACACCCCUGU